This 253-nucleotide ribosomal RNA is filed under the name uncultured bacterium. RNAcentral describes it as "partial 16S ribosomal RNA". It matches the Rfam family "Bacterial small subunit ribosomal RNA", at positions 524 to 776 of the family's 1533-position model. The record is from RNAcentral.
UACAGAGGGUGCAAGCGUUAAUCGGAAUUACUGGGCGUAAAGCGCGCGUAGGCGGCUUCGCAAGUCGGGUGUGAAAUCCCCAAGCUCAACUUGGGAACUGCAUUCGAGACUGCGUUGCUAGAGUAUGGGAGAGGGAAGUGGAAUUUCAGGUGUAGCGGUGAAAUGCGUAGAUAUCUGAAGGAACAUCAGUGGCGAAAGCGACUUCCUGGACCAAUACUGACGCUCAUGUGCGAAAGCGUGGGGAGCAAACAGG